RNAcentral lists this ribosomal RNA (254 nucleotides) under uncultured bacterium. RNAcentral's name for it is "partial 16S ribosomal RNA". It matches the Rfam family "Bacterial small subunit ribosomal RNA", at positions 524 to 776 of the family's 1533-position model. The record is from RNAcentral.
UACGGAGGAUCCAAGCGUUAUCCGGAUUUACUGGGCGUAAAGAGUUGCGUAGGCGGUUUACCAAGCAAGGCAUGAAAUAGUGUGGCUCAACCAUACUGCUAUGUUUUGAACUGGUAGACUAGAGGAUGAGAGAGGUUAUUGGAAUUCCAAGUGUAGGAGUGAAAUCCGUAGAUAUUUGGAGGAACACCGAUGGCGUAGGCAGAUAACUGGCUCAUUCCUGACGCUAAGGCACGAAAGCGUGGGUAGCAAACGGG